Molecule: long non-coding RNA, 7192 nt
Filed under: Solanum tuberosum (potato)
Lineage: Eukaryota; Viridiplantae; Streptophyta; Magnoliopsida; Solanales; Solanaceae
Description: long non-coding RNA (STUB_LNC010319)
Source: RNAcentral
UUUUUUUUUUUGAAAAGAAGUCAAAAUAAAAUAAAAAUUAAGAUAGAGUCAAAUUUCUCUAUAACAGCGUUGCUAGUCUGAAUAUAUAGUUCUUAAAUACUAUAAUGAAAUGUUAUUAUAAAGUACAUAUACAUUAACUUAACAUGAAAAUCAAUUGAUUCCAAGAAAAAUACUUGAUCGUUAUAAUAAAAUAACGGAAGAAUUUUGGAAAGCCAUCGUGAUCUUCGAUUGGUUGGAGAAAAUUAGAUAAAAUAUUAUGACGUUAGUUUGACAAAAAAUAUAUUAAAUUCUCACUCUAGACUUUAAUCAUGUGUUACAGUGUAUAUUAUUAAAUGUUAAAAUGUGAAGUCAUCAUAUAUUCUCAUCUAAAAAUGUAUAUUUUUAUAUAAUCAGUUAUAUCUUUCAUAUUUAAAAAUAUAUAUAUUUUCAACACAUGCCACACAUAUUGAUAAAAAAAAUGAACGUUCUUGAGCCUAACUCUUAUAAAAAAAAAUUUGCUCAAAGAUAAGAAAAGAAGUAUGACAAGAAAAUAUGUUAGGAAGGACUUUCUUUUAAAAUGAAUCUUACGAAACGGGACGAUAAUUCAAAUUAGUUAAACUUCGAUGCAAAUAUCGAAUAUCAAAUAUCUAAAUUUUUGUUUUUUUUUCUACAAGGAUUUUAAAUGCUUCACAAUUUCAUUAUUGUACUCCACUUACAAGCAAGCAAAAAGUCUACGUACAUGCACUAAAUUUCCCCUAUUUAAGGCAUCUUGUUUGUUUGUUUUUUUUUAAUAAUUUUUCCUUUGUCUUUUUCUUUCACUAAACUCUUUUGAGUCAAAACUCAUAUUAAUGUAGACAAAGAAUAAUUAUAAAUAAAAAAAUAGAAGUAGAUAAAUGUCUUGUCAUUUGUCAAUUGAUUAUAUAUAUGUCGAAAUUAACGGAUGUUUUGACUAUUAUAUAUAUAAAUAAAAAAUUCAAGUAUUUUUUUGUUUUACAAUUGUUUGGAAUCUCAAGAUUGUAAGUUCUUAUUAAAUAUAUAUAUCAUGUAUAACAAAGAAAUAGGCAGGGUUAGUGGUUGAACAAUAUUUAAUUAGGAUAGUGUCUUGUUUUCUAUGAUUUGCGCUGUUAAUCAAAUAGAUAACUAAUAUCAUUUGGUAUUAAAUGAUUAAUUGCAUAGUAAAAUAUAUAUAUAUAUAUUUCAUUUUUUGACAUAAUAUUUUGACCUGAUCAAGAUAGCACCCAAGGGUGAGUUCGUAUAAUCUAGUGAUUAAAAAAGUAAUCGAAAAUCAUAUGAAGUCUUUAAGUUCAAAUUAACUAUAACUUUUUAUGUAUCCAAGUUUUUGUGGACAGAAAGUUAAUCGACAUCUAUAUUCGAAUAGCAUGAUUAUGAAAAGGAAAAAAAAAACCUCUAGAUCUCAGAAGACUCCCACCACUUUUAUGUUUAGUCUAAUCUAACUCUUUGUGGACUUUUCCACAAUGAUAAAUCUUUAAGAAAUUAGAAGAUUAAGUGGUGUCAAAGAUAAUAGAAAGCUAGUUUUGAGUGCAUUAAUUUGGUAAAUGUUGCACCAAAAGGAUCCCGAAACCUAAAACAACAAUAAUAUAUUUCGUAUAAUCUUAUAAAAAGGGUCUAAAACAGAUAGGAUAUACGUAUGCACCCUUUGUAAGGUAGUUUAUAAUUUAUUUUCAAUAGAACAUCGGUUCAAUAAAGUGCAAUCAAAACAGAAUAUAAAGGAAAAUAAUGCAAACAAAAUAUAUUAUAACAAGAUAAACAAAGCAAUUGAAGCAACAAGUAGGAGUCUGAAACCUAAAUGAUGGGAAAAAUAUAGCCAAAACUAUUACUAUGUCUAGAAGAACUUUUAAAAUAUUAAUUCUUACAAUAAAAAGGAGAAAAUUUAAAACAUCUCUAGAAAAACUCAAAAAAUUGAAAAUUAAAAUUUUACGAAAAAAAUGUUCAAUUACUUUUCUUUUUUUUUAAAAUUAUGGUCUAUUCAUUCAAGAUUCAAAGAUUGAUGUGACAAGACAAUAUACACAUGUGAAGGAUUGGACAAUUGCCUUACUAGUUAUUAAGUGACCUCUCCUACUCAAAACCUGUCAAAAUAUCAUCCCACUUUCACCCCAACCCCCCAAAAAAGUAAAUAUUUUUUACACAAAAAUUAAAUAAUUUAAUAUUCUUCUUCAAAAGUUUUAAAAAAUAAAUAUUAUAAUUUAUUGAUUUUACGUAUACAUCGACUGUGAAUGAACUUUUACUUCCUCAAUGUACGCACUCUCUCGAACCCUAACUAAUUAACACAAUAAGACAAGAUCGAUAAACUCAUUUGUAUCGAAUGUUUAUACAAAUUAUAUUAAUUUAUUAUGAUUAAAUAAUUUAACAAGAUAAAAAUAUGAACUAGCUAAUUGAUUAUGAUUUUAGUGAAAUAAAUUAAUUUGUGUAAAGAUAUUAUGAUUUUAUUGGUCUUGUAUAAAUAUUGACGCGAAAAAAUCUUGAUAAGAAAUGAUUUUAAAUAUAUUAUCUUAGAGCACAAUGUGUUUGUUAGUGCAUUGGUCUUAUUAUAAAAAGUUCAAAAGUGAUAUAUCUCGUGACAUAUUUAAAAAUAUAUUGUAGAUAAUAAAAUCUUAAAUAUGUGAAAAUAUUUUUAAAAAUUUAAUUCAAAAUUUACUAUCAAAUGCGCUAGGUAAACAGAAAAAAAGAAAAAAAAACAUAAUGAUGGUAGCUAUGCUAUAUCUUUCCAUCAGUCUGCUAAAUAUUGUACUUCACUAACUACUGAUGCUGAGGUUUCAUUUUCUAAACAGUAUUUUUAUUUUUUCCUUCACUUCACAAGAUUUUAUUGCUUGGAUUUGUUUAAGGCAAAUUAUGUUGCACUGAUUUCCACGUGCCAUUUAUGGCACUUCACUUCAUUUUUUUUCAUUUCUAUGAUGUACGAAAUAUUUUAUAUCAUUUUAUGGAAUGAUAAGUAUUUCUUUGUCAAUUAGAAAUUUUGAGUUCGAGUUUCUUUGGGUAUGGAAUCGCUUUUGUUAGACAACGCUUUAUUCUUAAUGUAAAAUUUUCAGUAUAAAUCAAAUUUUAAUGUAGGUACGAGACACCAGAUAGAAACACAUUUAUAAAGAAUGAUAAUUGCUGCAAAAAUAAUAAUAUAUUUAACGAUAAUUAAAUUAUUGUCAUUAAAGAUCAUUUCUAAUGUAGUGAGUGUGACCUAAAAUUACACUAGUGAUAAUAAUUUUUUAUUACAAAUAUAAGGUGUGGCUUAAAAUUAGUGAAUUGACUAACUAAAAAACACCCUUUUUGGGGUUUUGAUUUGAAGGAAAAGAUAAGGGAUGAAUAAUAUGUUCUUAUUGUGAUAAAAAUAAUAUGUCUGUUUUCUAUCAGUCUUCCCUCACCUUAUUAUUAUUCCUUUUGCCUCUCUUUUUAACUUGUUCAACUAUCUUUCCUUCUCUUUUUGCAGAAUAUGUUACCUACUAAAUUGACUAUUCAAACAAUUUACUCAAAAACAAACACAAUGUAAUCUUACAUGUAGGGUUCGGGAAGAGUAGUGCGUUUGUAAAUUAUUUUGUUCCUAUUUUGUUAUAGUAUAUGGAGGUUGUUUCCGAAAGAUGGUAGAUAUAAUAACGGACAGUAACAAUAAGAUAAUAAGAUAAUUGAAAUGAAAGAAACAAUCAAAUAGCAGCGCUAAAGGUCUAAGAAUAAGCAACUUAAAAAAAUUAUAUUGAUACUCUUGGUAUGAAAAAGAAAUAUGCUUGUCAAUAGGGUGGAGCUAGGGUAUCGAAAAGGGUUCGUUUGAAUUUAUUUUAUCGAAAAAUUAUACUAUGAAAAGGUGGUCGGGAAAGGAUAUAUAUAUAUAUAUAUACUCUUUGAAUUAUGUUUUAUUAAUAUAUAAUAAAUUUAAAUAUUUUAUUUUAUUUUCAAAUAAGAUAUGUUAAAGAGGAAAUUCAUGUCAGUGUACUUAUGGAAUGGAUAACAGGAAGCACCAUAAUGUGUGCCUGUAAGUGGUAACUGUAAUUUGGCCCUUUUUUAUGCUUUUUCCUCGGGAUGUGGAAUUUAUAUUGAUGUCCGAUUAAAUUUGACGUUGAAAAAGUUCCACGUUGAGAGAUCAAACAUUCUCAAACAAAGGCGAAAGAUGUUCUCUGACAAAUAGCGGAAUGGGAUAGCUAGACAAGGAUUUCUCAUGAGAUUAUAACUAUAUCAUUUUCUAAUAUGAGAUAGCUAAUUCCACCAUUUCAGUAUAUAAUAGUUCAUAGGACAAACUAAUACCUAUAACCAAAUGUGAAAUAAAAUUGGAUAAAUUAUCUAACAGAGCAAACAUAUGUCAAGUAUUUACCCAAAGUAGUGAGAGUUUACAAAAAUUAUACUCAUAUAUAAUGAGAGUUUGGAUUUUAUCUGUUUCGAAUUUGUAUAUGUUUGCAUAUAUAGAUUUGUAUCGGUUCACUUUGUAAUCGUUGUAUAUAUUCGCUCUAUUUACUCAUCAGAUCGAUAUUAAGAGAGCAGAUACAAAGCAAAUCGAUACACAGUAGUAGUAUCACAAGUUUUUUAGGUAAAUUAUCACUAUGAUAGGUAGUUAGGGCUCGAAGCACCAAUAUUUUUAUGAUUUUCUCAAUAAAAUAAUCUCGUAUUUUAUUUCGAAAUUGUUAUCAAAUGGGCCUUGUUUUGUCUAUUACCUACUACUAAGGCCCAUACAUAUAUGAUGUUGAUAUAUCAUAGAAGAGAUAUAAAAUAGUACUAAGUACUUCUACUGGUUAUUUGUACGUACUCAUGUGCCUGCAUGCACACGAGCAACUCUCAACCCCCCCACCCCCACCAUAAUUAGUCCGAUCCAAAAAGAAUGUUAUUUUUAUCACAAUUAAAAAUAAUUUAAUCUUAGCGAAAUGAUUUAUUGAAAUAGAAAUAUCUAAGAAUUGUUUUAGAUUACAAAUUUUAAAAAAAUUCAUUUUUUCCUUAGACAUCGUAUUAAGUUAAAUAAUAUCACAUAAAACAGGACGGAGGGGGUAAAGAAGAAGAGCCAAUAAAAGAUCUAAAGAAAGGUAACCUUAAAAACCAGAAACAAAACAGCAGGACUAGUUUCUUUGCUACUACAAUAUAGAGUGAAAAAAAGAAAUUAUUUAGCCAAUAUAUUAUAAAGUGAUAGAGUCAAAGGGACCAUAGGUAUUCUAGCAGAAGGAAGUAGCAGACUCUGGCAAAGAGAUAAGGUGUAGAGAAGUGGGGCCAUCGGAGUCGGAGUCGGAGUCAAAAAUUUAUAUAAGAAGAUUCAAAUAAUGGUAUAACGUCAUAUAUAGUUCAAUUUGAACUUGUGACCUAAAAUAAUUUAUAAUAGUAUAGGUGUCGCUUGUGGAGUAGAGGACUUGUAAUGGAAUAAUACUAUAGUAGUUUUUGGAGAGAACUAGACAAUACAUGAUACAUUUGUAACUUAUCGACGACAUGAUUUUAUAUAGAAAAAAAUUAUAGGUCAAGGAUUAGGAUAAUAUAGAAGGUUAGUACUUAGUAGGUAGUCACAUGUUGUCUAGUUACGUAUCAAUAUUAUUUUAUUCUUUGCUUUUAUUAUCUCCUUAGUUUUGACUAUUAUAUUAUUUGUUUGUUGUUAUUCUUCUCAUUCAUUGUUUCAAUACUGUUUUACAUGCUUAAUUUAUGUUAUUGCUUUAUUUUAAAAUAAUAUUUCUACCUUCUCAAGACAUGAAUAAGGUCGCGUAGGCACGCUUUAUAAAAUUACACUAAAUAUGUUAAUGUAGUUUGAUAUGAUCUCAUGACUUAGAUAAUUAUUUUAUCUAUACUAUUAUUAUUUUUAGAAAAAAGCAAUUGAUCAUGGUGUAUAUGUAAUUAAUUAUAUUUUUAUUUUAUUUAUAUAAAAUAUAAUUUUUCGACGAAAGAAUUUCAAACGCUAGAAGACAAGGAGAGUUAAGAUGUGUGAAGAGAGUGGGUCAAUGACUCACAAGUAUGGGGUUGUCUUGUCAUGUCAAUAGCUUCAUUUAUUAUUAAUGUUCUUUUCCUUGUUUUAAAAAUCUUGUCCCUAUAUAUUGGCACUAUUUGUUAGGAACUUUAAAAUACAGUACUUUAAUAGUAAUUAAUUGUUGCUAUCUUCAUGGAUGCUAUGAAGUGGAGGUCAUUUUACUUUUUUUUAAACUUAAUUAUAACAUAUCGAGUAAAAUUUCACAAGUGAAGUCUACACAUUAUAUUGGUGAAAAGACAACAAGUAUCUAAUAAACUAGUCAAGGUAUGCGCUAACUGGCUAAGUAACAACUACUACUUCUCAGUUCUAAAUAAGUUAAAAUCAGCUAUAUGAAUCCUCGCGGUAUCUAAUUUCAAUUACUAUCAACAAAGAAACACAGAACUUUUUCACCUUUUUUCAUUCCAAAAGCAACCUAAAGUCCUGGAAGUUAGUUGCUGAUGUGAUGUGAAAGAGAAAGGUAUUAAUUGAGAGACAAAGCAUGAAUAUAUAUAUUACUUUAUGUCCUAGUUGAAAAUGCAACAAAUGAGAAAUUUAAUGGAUACCAACUCUUGGCAAUAAUAGCAUUGAGAAGGAACAAUUAAUUCAAUGUUGGUCAGACUCUCCAAAAAUGUUAUCGUAUCUUUAAAAAUGCACUACUUUUAGAAGAUAUGACACGCACAUGUCGUCGACAAUUUUGAAGAGUCCAAAACAAUAUAGGAAAAUGAAGAGGUGACAAAACUCAGUUCUUAAUGUUACAGUAAUGAAUUUGUUCUAUCAUGUAUACAACAAUUACAAAGUUAAGAACUACAUAUUGGCUUUCCUGCAAACUGAUAAAAAUGAAAACAUUAACUAUGAAACAUAAAUGAAUUUACCAUUCAACAAAUAAGUUACACGAAUAUAAUGAAUAUGUUUAUCCCUCAGAUACCGUCAUUGCUUCUACUCAGGGUAAAGAAGUUCAUGACUCGUGGGCCUCUACGUCCAUGUGGCAUUGGCCGGUUCAAGGUUAGUCGUGAGCUGUAGGAAAAGAUAGUAGUGAACCAUGAGAAGUUCCCGUAGUUGCAUAAGGGACAUUUCGAACAAUCCAGAAGAUAGUAACAUUUGUCUUCCGACUAGCAAUCACUGGCAAAACUACCUCAGGCAAUAGCCCAAAACUUUUUCCUGCAAAAUAAGACCGGCUCCGUCUUUCUCUGAUGGUUCUCUAGAAAAUGAAGUUCGACAUCCCAGAGAAACUUAGGAGCAAGAGCUUGUAUUCUUGAUAUGAUGGGCUCUUCAUCUCUGAUAAUGAUAAAUCCCUGCAUGUCA